RNAcentral lists this ribosomal RNA (434 nucleotides) under uncultured bacterium. Its description in RNAcentral is "partial 16S ribosomal RNA". It matches the Rfam family "Bacterial small subunit ribosomal RNA", at positions 29 to 507 of the family's 1533-position model. The record is from RNAcentral.
AGCGAACGCUGGCGGCAGGCCUAACACAUGCAAGUCGAACGAACCUUUCGGGGUUAGUGGCGGACGGGUGAGUAACACGUGGGAACGUGCCUUUAGGUUCGGAAUAACUCAGGGAAACUUGUGCUAAUACCGAAUGUGCCCUUCGGGGGAAAGAUUUAUCGCCUUUAGAGCGGCCCGCGUCUGAUUAGCUAGUUGGUUGAGGUAAUGGCUCACCAAGGCGACGAUCAGUUGCUGGUCUGAGAGGAUGAUCAGCCACAAUGGGACUGAGACACGGCCCAAACUCCUACGGGAGGCAGCAGUAGGGAAUCUUGCGCAAUGGGCGAAAGCCUGACGCAGCCAUGCCGCGUGAAUGAUGAAGGUCUUAGGAUUGUAAAAUUCUUUCACCGGGGACGAUAAUGACGGUACCCGGAGAAGAAGCCCCGGCUAACUUCGUG